UGGGGAAUAUUGGGCAAUGGGGGAAACCCCGACCCAGCAACGCCGCGUGAAUGAUGAAGGUCUUCGGAUUGUAAAGUUCUGUCGCGAGGGACGAAUAAAUGACGGUACCUCGUGAGGAAGCCACGGCUAACUACGUGCCAGCAGCCGCGGUGAUACGUAGGUGGCAAGCGUUGUCCGGAUUUACUGGGUGUAAAGGGCGUGUAGGCGGGACUGUAGGUCAGAUGUGAAAUCUUAGGGCUCAACCCUAAGCCUGCAUUUGAAACCGCAGUUCUUGAGUACCGGAGAGGAAAGUGGAAUUCCUAGUGUAGCGGUGGAAUGCGUAGAUAUUAGGAGGAACACCCGUGGCGAAGGCGGCUUUCUGGACGGUAACUGACGCUGAGGCGCGAAAGCGUGGGGAGCAAACA
This 404-nucleotide ribosomal RNA is filed under the name uncultured Eubacteriales bacterium. RNAcentral's name for it is "uncultured Clostridiales bacterium partial 16S ribosomal RNA". It matches the Rfam family "Bacterial small subunit ribosomal RNA", at positions 355 to 774 of the family's 1533-position model. Lineage: Bacteria; Bacillati; Bacillota; Clostridia; Eubacteriales. The record is from RNAcentral.